UGGGGGAUAUUGCACAAUGGGGGAAACCCUGAUGCAGCGACGCCGCGUGAAGGAAGAAGGCCUUCGGGUUGUAAACUUCUGUCGUACGGGACGAUAAUGACGGUACCGUACAAGAAAGCCACGGCUAACUACGUGCCAGCAGCCGCGGUAAAACGUAGGUGGCAAGCGUUGUCCGGAAUUACUGGGUGUAAAGGGAGCGCAGGCGGACUAGCAAGUUGGAAGUGAAAUCUAUGGGCUCAACCCAUAAAUUGCUUUCAAAACUGCCGGUCUUGAGUAGUGCAGAGGUAGGCGGAAUUCCCGGUGUAGCGGUGGAAUGCGUAGAUAUCGGGAGGAACACCAGUGGCGAAGGCGGCCUACUGGGCACCAACUGACGCUGAGGCUCGAAAGUAUGGGUAGCAAACAGGAUUAGAUACCC
Molecule: ribosomal RNA, 415 nt
Filed under: uncultured bacterium
Lineage: Bacteria
Description: bacterial SSU rRNA
Rfam family: Bacterial small subunit ribosomal RNA
Source: RNAcentral